GAUGAACGCUGGCGGCGUGCCUAAUACAUGCAAGUCGAGCGAACGGACGAGAAGCUUGCUUCUCUGAUGUUAGCGGCGGACGGGUGAGUAACACGUGGAUAACCUACCUAUCAGACUGGGAUAACUUCGGGAAACCGGAGCUAAUACCGGAUAAUAUUUUGAACCGCAUGGUUCAAAAGUGAAAGACGGUCUUGCUGUCACUUAUAGAUGGAUCCGCGCUGCAUUAGCUAGUUGGUAAGGUAACGGCUUACCAAGGCAACGAUGCAUAGCCGACCUGAGAGGGUGAUCGGCCACCCUGGAACUGAGACACGGUCCAGACUCCUACGGGAGGCAGCAGUAGGGAAUCUUCCGCAAUGGGCGAAAGCCUGACGGAGCAACGCCGCGUGAGUGAUGAAGGUCUUCGGAUCGUAAAACUCUGUUAUUAGGGAAGAACAUAUGUGUAAGUAACUGUGCACAUCUUGACGGUACCUAAUCAGAAAGCCACGGCUAACUACGUG
RNAcentral lists this ribosomal RNA (497 nucleotides) under uncultured bacterium. Its description in RNAcentral is "partial 16S ribosomal RNA". It matches the Rfam family "Bacterial small subunit ribosomal RNA", at positions 28 to 507 of the family's 1533-position model. The record is from RNAcentral.